GACGAACGCUGGCGGCGUGCUUAACACAUGCAAGUCGAACGAAGAGCGACGGAAGCUUGCUUCUAUCAAUCUUAGUGGCGAACGGGUGAGUAACGCGUAAUCAACCUGCCCUUCAGAGGGGGACAACAGUUGGAAACGACUGCUAAUACCGCAUACGAUCUAAUCUCGGCAUCGAGGAUGGAUGAAAGGUGGCCUCUACAUGUAAGCUAUCACUGAAGGAGGGGAUUGCGUCUGAUUAGCUAGUUGGAGGGGUAACGGCCCACCAAGGCGAUGAUCAGUAGCCGGUCUGAGAGGAUGAACGGCCACAUUGGGACUGAGACACGGCCCAGACUCCUACGGGAGGCAGCAGUGGGGAAUCUUCCGCAAUGGACGAAAGUCUGACGGAGCAACGCCGCGUGAGUGAUGACGGCCUUCGGGUUGUAAAGCUCUGUUAAUCGGGACGAAAGGCCUUCUUGCGAAUAGUGAGAAGGAUUGACG
Molecule: ribosomal RNA, 477 nt
Filed under: Veillonella parvula
Lineage: Bacteria; Bacillati; Bacillota; Negativicutes; Veillonellales; Veillonellaceae
Description: bacterial SSU rRNA
Rfam family: Bacterial small subunit ribosomal RNA
Source: RNAcentral